UAAUAAGAGUAACAAGAUUAGUAUAAUCAAAAAGCAACAACAAAAACAUCUACAACAACAAUUACUUCUUUCCUUUUGUGGAUUGAAUGAAGGUGGAAGUUGAACUUUUCUUGGUGGCAUUUGGAUUGGAAUUGUAGGAUCUUUAAACCCUGGUGGCUUCUUUAAUGGUUGCAUCUGUGACAUUCUUGAAUCUAAACCAAAAAAAAAUCCCUUUUUUCCCUUUUCUGGAUUCUUUAUAUAAAUGAGUAAAUCUUUAUGAAUUAUGAAAAGUGAAAUGUUGCAUUAAAUCAAACAGGUUAUGUGCAUAAAA
RNAcentral lists this unclassified non-coding RNA (310 nucleotides) under Hevea brasiliensis (rubber tree). The record is from RNAcentral. Lineage: Eukaryota; Viridiplantae; Streptophyta; Magnoliopsida; Malpighiales; Euphorbiaceae.